Mauremys reevesii (Reeves's turtle) is the source of this 1057-nucleotide long non-coding RNA. RefSeq lists it as uncharacterized. The transcript is spliced from 5 exons. The record is from RefSeq and is a predicted model, not a curated record. NCBI's taxonomy places the organism in Eukaryota, Metazoa, Chordata, Testudines, Geoemydidae.
UCCUUUUUUGUCCUGGAAUAGAUGAGCAGUCACGCAGAUGAGUUCCCUUUGAUUGAACACAGCACUCGGUAGGGAACAAGUCAAUGGUGUGACGCUCUUUUUCAGGAAUGCAGAGCUACAUUUCACCUCUGUUUCCCGUUUUUGGGACUGAAGAGACUCCAACAUGCGAUCAAUAAGCACCUUGGUGGCAGAGCCGAGCUGAAGCCUGAAGAGCUCCAGGUGGACAUUUGCAGACACCUUGCCAAAGAAAAUGCAGAACUGCUGGAGAACUUGUAUAGCACCACCAUCGCGUCCUUCAGUAGCAGCUGGGAAGGGAUCCGGGCAGGUGCCGCCAACUUAGCUGGCAUCAUCCUGGAACACACAGACACUCAGCGUAUGAAAUGGCUGGACCUGGAACAUCUGCUGAUGUCUCUCCGGGUCCUAGAGAAAGACCCAAGUCCCACUGUCCAGCUGGUGGCAACUGAGCUUAUAAGUGACAUCUGUCCUGGCAGAGCGCUUGGCGAAUGAAGCAGAACGGAGACAAACAGAACAAGGCGCUCCAGUGCUCGACGAUGCCUUUCAAGAGGCCUUUGAGAACUUACACAUCGGUAGCCCUGUUGUGCAUCAGCUGUUUUUGCUCCUGUCUGAGAUGCGGAUCUCAAGAGGAAAAUCCGGAAAAGGACAAAAUAGAAGAAUGAACCAGCUCAGAGUCUUUCGUUGUAAGGGUCAUGGCGUCCAUUUUUACAGGUGGCUGUCAAAGGUUGUGUUAAACCAGGCAAUUAAUUAAACUUAUUUAAAUGUGUCCCUAUGACUGUAUCCCCUCCAUACUUGCGUUAGUAAAAGACGGUACCAGGAACAGUCCUGUCUCCACAGACAGCUCUGUUAAUGAAAAUAGAUUACAUCCCCAGGGAUGCUGGGAGCUUUGGUGGGGGAAUCCUCUUUUUGAGUGGCCAAAAAGCACAGUAAAACUUUUUAAAUAGAAGACAGGUAACAGCUUAGCUUUCAGAUCAGAUGCUUACACUUUACACAAACUGGCUCAAAUACAUUUUAAAAGAAACAAGACCAUUGUUUCAGAUGU